UACGUAGGGUGCAAGCGUUAUCCGGAAUUAUUGGGCGUAAAGAGCUCGUAGGCGGUUUUGUCGCGUCUGCUGUGAAAACUGGAGGCUCAACCUCCAGCCUGCAGUGGGUACGGGCAGACUAGAGUGCGGUAGGGGAGAUUGGAAUUCCUGGUGUAGCGGUGGAAUGCGCAGAUAUCAGGAGGAACACCGGUGGCGAAGGCGGGUCUCUGGGCAGUAACUGACGCUGAGGAGCGAAAGCGUGGGGAGCGAACAGG
Molecule: ribosomal RNA, 254 nt
Filed under: uncultured bacterium
Lineage: Bacteria
Description: partial 16S ribosomal RNA
Rfam family: Bacterial small subunit ribosomal RNA
Source: RNAcentral